This 828-nucleotide ribosomal RNA is filed under the name Streptococcus thermophilus. Its description in RNAcentral is "bacterial SSU rRNA". It matches the Rfam family "Bacterial small subunit ribosomal RNA", at positions 76 to 889 of the family's 1533-position model. The record is from RNAcentral. Lineage: Bacteria; Bacillati; Bacillota; Bacilli; Lactobacillales; Streptococcaceae.
GAGCUUGCUCUUCUUGGAUGAGUUGCGAACGGGUGAGUAACGCGUAGGUAACCUGCCUUGUAGCGGGGGAUAACUAUUGGAAACGAUAGCUAAUACCGCAUAACAAUGGAUGACACAUGUCAUUUAUUUGAAAGGGGCAAUUGCUCCACUACAAGAUGGACCUGCGUUGUAUUAGCUAGUAGGUGAGGUAAUGGCUCACCUAGGCGACGAUACAUAGCCGACCUGAGAGGGUGAUCGGCCACACUGGGACUGAGACACGGCCCAGACUCCUACGGGAGGCAGCAGUAGGGAAUCUUCGGCAAUGGGGGCAACCCUGACCGAGCAACGCCGCGUGAGUGAAGAAGGUUUUCGGAUCGUAAAGCUCUGUUGUAAGUCAAGAACGGGUGUGAGAGUGGAAAGUUCACACUGUGACGGUAGCUUACCAGAAAGGGACGGCUAACUACGUGCCAGCAGCCGCGGUAAUACGUAGGUCCCGAGCGUUGUCCGGAUUUAUUGGGCGUAAAGCGAGCGCAGGCGGUUUGAUAAGUCUGAAGUUAAAGGCUGUGGCUCAACCAUAGUUCGCUUUGGAAACUGUCAAACUUGAGUGCAGAAGGGGAGAGUGGAAUUCCAUGUGUAGCGGUGAAAUGCGUAGAUAUAUGGAGGAACACCGGUGGCGAAAGCGGCUCUCUGGUCUGUAACUGACGCUGAGGCUCGAAAGCGUGGGGAGCGAACAGGAUUAGAUACCCUGGUAGUCCACGCCGUAAACGAUGAGUGCUAGGUGUUGGAUCCUUUCCGGGAUUCAGUGCCGCAGCUAACGCAUUAAGCACUCCGCCUGGGGAGUACGACCGC